UUCUCUGGCAGGCAUAUUCUGUAGCCUCCAGGCUGUCCUGUUCUCUGUGGAAGGAGCAGUUUAUCUGACUACAGAGAAUUCUGGAGGGGAUGGGAGGCAAGAGUGAGAGGCUGUUAAUGUUGUCCCCAGGACUUGAGACCUCUUUAAAAUCUAUACCUGAGAAAAACAAGAUGGCACCCUGUGAAGGGAUGAAAGAAGGGGAAUUGAAAACGGACUGUUCGCAAGGCUGAUGGAAGACCUUGUGUCUUCAAUAGCACAAGAGGGUGGGCCUAGAAGAGCUCCAGGACCCAUACGAGAC
This 298-nucleotide long non-coding RNA is filed under the name Homo sapiens (human). RNAcentral describes it as "HSALNT0168168". The record is from RNAcentral. Lineage: Eukaryota; Metazoa; Chordata; Mammalia; Primates; Hominidae.